RNAcentral lists this ribosomal RNA (468 nucleotides) under uncultured bacterium. RNAcentral's name for it is "partial 16S ribosomal RNA". It matches the Rfam family "Bacterial small subunit ribosomal RNA", at positions 28 to 507 of the family's 1533-position model. The record is from RNAcentral.
GAUGAACGCUGGCGGCGUGCUUAACACAUGCAAGUCGAACGGUGAAGGCGGAGCUUGCUCUGCUGGAUCAGUGGCGAACGGGUGAGUAACACGUGAGCAAUCUGCCCCUGACUCUGGGAUAAGCGCUGGAAACGGCGUCUAAUACUGGAUACGAGCUGCGAAGGCAUCUUCAGCAGCUGGAAAGAAUUUCGGUCAGGGAUGAGCUCGCGGCCUAUCAGCUUGUUGGUGAGGUAAUGGCUCACCAAGGCGUCGACGGGUAGCCGGCCUGAGAGGGUGACCAGCCACACUGGGACUGAGACACGGCCCAGACUCCUACGGGAGGCAGCAGUGGGGAAUAUUGCACAAUGGGCGAAAGCCUGAUGCAGCAACGCCGCGUGAGGGACGACGGCCCUCGGGUUGUAAACCUCUUUUAGCAGGGAAGAAGCGAAAGUGACGGUACCUGCAGAAAAAGCGCCGGCUAACUACGUG